Molecule: transfer RNA, 87 nt
Filed under: Intestinimonas butyriciproducens
Lineage: Bacteria; Bacillati; Bacillota; Clostridia; Eubacteriales
Also listed under: 1 other name
Rfam family: tRNA
About the family: Transfer RNA (tRNA) molecules are approximately 80 nucleotides in length.
Source: RNAcentral
GAGAGAUGGCUGAGCUGGUCGAAGGCGCACGAUUGGAAAUCGUGUAGGCGUUAAUAGCGUCUCGAGGGUUCGAAUCCCUCUCUCUCC